This 704-nucleotide long non-coding RNA is filed under the name Oryza sativa Indica Group (long-grained rice). RNAcentral describes it as "lncRNA OsMH63_12G019230". The record is from RNAcentral. Lineage: Eukaryota; Viridiplantae; Streptophyta; Magnoliopsida; Poales; Poaceae.
GGCGACGGCGAUGGAGGGCGCGGCGGCGGCGGCGGGGGCGGGGGCGGGGGCGGGGUUGCCCAUGGUGAAGUUGCGGGGAGGCGACGGCGUGGAGUUCUCGGUGCAGGCCCGGCGGCUGGCGGAGCUCGCGCCGCGACACGUAUGGGACCUGCCCGCCAUCGAGUCCGGCGACAUCUACGACACCGUGCAGCUCUACCGCAGGAACGCCGAGCGCUUCACGAGCCGCGCCACCGGCGGGCUGCUUCCCCAGGGGGUCCUGAACGUGCAGACCAUCUUCGCGCAGAGAGUCAACGACCUCGACACCCUCGGCCACCUCACAAGGGCUGCGAUUGUUCUCGGCAUGGAAGAUCUCAAGGAUGAAUGCUACAAUAGGAUGCUGCAAGAUCAUCAGAUGGGACCACAGCAAGUGAAGCUGUUUUUGCAGAAUGUGCUGGGACACCCGUGAACGGUUCCGCAAAUGGCAUUUUUCCUAGUUAUCAUUAGCAGAUCAUCACCCUGGUCUAUACCUAGCUAGUGAAGUAUAUACUGCCUAUGUUUCAGGAUAGGUUAAGUCUUAAGUACAUACAUGGCUAGAACUCUGUUAAGCCGACUGCGUGCCUGCGUGCACUUUAUCAGGUCUAGAUGUGAGAGCUACUUGAGUUGUUUGGUGCUAAGGCCGAUUCGAAUUGCUCUUAUCAAUUCAGAAUUCACAAGCUUACCAGCUC